CAGCCGCCGCGGUAAUACCGAGGGUGCGAGCGUUAAUCGGAUUUACUGGGCGUAAAGCGUGCGUAGGCGGCUUCUUAAGUCGGAUGUGAAAUCCCUGAGCUUAACUUAGGAAUUGCAUUCGAUACUGGGAAGCUAGAGUAUGGGAGAGGAUGGUAGAAUUCCAGGUGUAGCGGUGAAAUGCGUAGAGAUCUGGAGGAAUACCGAUGGCGAAGGCAGCCAUCUGGCCUAAUACUGACGCUGAGGUACGAAAGCAUGGGGAGCAAACAGGAUUAGAUACCCGUGUAGUCCCUGUCUCUUAUAC
Molecule: ribosomal RNA, 301 nt
Filed under: uncultured bacterium
Lineage: Bacteria
Description: partial 16S ribosomal RNA
Rfam family: Bacterial small subunit ribosomal RNA
Source: RNAcentral